Long non-coding RNA from Rhincodon typus (whale shark), 1242 nucleotides. RefSeq lists it as uncharacterized. The record is from RefSeq and is a predicted model, not a curated record. NCBI's taxonomy places the organism in Eukaryota, Metazoa, Chordata, Chondrichthyes, Orectolobiformes, Rhincodontidae. The transcript is spliced from 3 exons.
UUUUGGAGGAUUGCGCUGUGUCCAACUUUGCUGCUUGCAGAGUGAAUGUUUCCUUAGCAAAGCUCCUGCUGUUUAACACUUUGGCUUUCCUGAAAUGUUAUGGAAUGAAUUGGAGUAAGCCUGGUGAAGUCAGGCUAUAAAAAUGCUUUCAUGUUGAAAGAAACAGAUUGCUUUGCAGUUGCUCAUCCCAAUUAUCUGAAAUAAGUGCUAAGAGCAGCCUUUGUCAGGCAGAUAUUGGAAGAGGAUGGGGAAAACUACCUCUGACUAACUGCUUAAAGGUAGCAGUUGAAACAUACCGGGUGAUAGAAGCAGGAAAAUGGUCGGGAACAUUUGCUAUCUGAUAAACAGUAGCAGAAGUCAAUUUAUUGCACCAAUCGUUAAAUAAUGGCACUGAUUAUAAGGCUGCUAACUGCAGCAGCUGUAAUUGUCUGUCAUAAAUCUUUGUCGUCUGUGACAGCAGAACAAUUAAAUGAGCCAUCUGCUUCAGGGCAAAUGACUUUUGAUAAAUAUCAGUUCUGCUGAAAUGUACUUGGAUGUGUCUCAAUAUUUUGGAGAGCCAUUCAAGUUGCUUCCAUGAAUGUGAAGUUAUUAUUGGUUCGUAUUGAUUUUGCCACCCUUAUUUAACGCCAAUGUGAGUGACUCAAGGCUGAGAUGAAUAGUGUCUUCUCCUUAUCUGAUCAACUCUCUCCUCCUAAGUGCAUGUUCUAGUGAAAAAAUAAUUACAGUUCUUUUCAGAGAAGUCUGCAGAGAAAUGCAACCAACAGAACUCAAUAAGCCGUAGAUAUUUUUUUAAUAAAGCAAGUAUACAAGUGAAAAUGAAUUUCAGAAUCUGAAGUGCUUCUUUUAAAUUCAGUACUGUUAGAGUCAGUUCAAUAUGCUGUCAACUUUGCAAUUUGUCACUUUUUAACAGCUAUAUUUGUUCAGAAUAUUGGCUGUUACAGAAUUUGAUGACCAGAGUUGCAUUGUGAGAAAAGUGUUGAAUUCAAGAGGGUAAAAUAAAGGUCAUUACAUUUUGGAUCAGUCAAUGUAAUUAUAUUACUGAGGCCAAGAAAGGUCUUUUGAUCUCAUUUAAAUUUUAUGGUAAGAAAUUUGAAUCCUACAUUGCCAUUUUCUUGCUAAGGUAUGAUGGGCAUAGUUCCCCUUGGCCAGGUGUCAAUUUUUUUUGUGAUUGCUCUGAUAGAAAUGAGAUCACACAAGAAAUAAUGUUUUCUGAGACAGAAAACAAAAGAAAUGAAACAUUGU